Molecule: ribosomal RNA, 169 nt
Filed under: uncultured bacterium
Lineage: Bacteria
Description: partial 16S ribosomal RNA
Rfam family: Bacterial small subunit ribosomal RNA
Source: RNAcentral
CCUACGGGAGGCAGCAGUGGGGAAUCUUGGACAAUGGGCGCAAGCCUGAUCCAGCCAUGCCGCGUGAGUGAAGAAGGUCUUCGGAUUGUAAAGCUCUUUUGCCAGGGACGAUAAUGACGGUACCUGGAGAAUAAGCCCCGGCAAACUUCGUGCCAGCAGCCGCGGUAAU